RNAcentral lists this ribosomal RNA (471 nucleotides) under uncultured Streptococcus sp. Its description in RNAcentral is "bacterial SSU rRNA". It matches the Rfam family "Bacterial small subunit ribosomal RNA", at positions 908 to 1382 of the family's 1533-position model. The record is from RNAcentral. Lineage: Bacteria; Bacillati; Bacillota; Bacilli; Lactobacillales; Streptococcaceae.
AAUUGACGGGGGCCCGCACAAGCGUGGAGCAUGUGGUUUAAUUCGAAGCAACGCGAAGAACCUUACCAGGUCUUGACAUCCCGAUGCUAUUUCUAGAGAUAGAAAGUUACUUCGGUACAUCGGUGACAGGUGGUGCAUGGUUGUCGUCAGCUCGUGUCGUGAGAUGUUGGGUUAAGUCCCGCAACGAGCGCGACCCCUAUUGUUAGUUGCCAUCAUUCAGUUGGGCACUCUAGCGAGACUGCCGGUAAUAAACCGGAGGAAGUGGGGAUGACGUCAAAUCAUCAUGCCCCUUAUGACCUGGGCUACACACGUGCUACAAUGGUUGGUACAACGAGUUGCGAGUCGGUGACGGCGAGCUAAUCUCUUAAAGCCAAUCUCAGUUCGGAUUGUAGGCUGCAACUCGCCUACAUGAAGUCGGAAUCGCUAGUAAUCGCGGAUCAGCACGCCGCGGUGAAUACGUUCCCGGGCCUU